AAAUUGAAGAGUUUGAUCAUGGCUCAGAUUGAACGCUGGCGGCAGGCCUAACACAUGCAAGUCGAGCGGUAGCACAGAGAGCUUGCUCUCGGGUGACGAGCGGCGGACGGGUGAGUAAUGUCUGGGAAACUGCCUGAUGGAGGGGGAUAACUACUGGAAACGGUAGCUAAUACCGCAUAACGUCGCAAGACCAAAGUGGGGGACCUUCGGGCCUCAUGCCAUCAGAUGUGCCCAGAUGGGAUUAGCUAGUAGGUGGGGUAACGGCUCACCUAGGCGACGAUCCCUAGCUGGUCUGAGAGGAUGACCAGCCACACUGGAACUGAGACACGGUCCAGACUCCUACGGGAGGCAGCAGUGGGGAAUAUUGCACAAUGGGCGCAAGCCUGAUGCAGCCAUGCCGCGUGUGUGAAGAAGGCCUUCGGGUUGUAAAGCACUUUCAGCGGGGAGGAAGGCGAUAAGGUUAAUAACCUUGUUGAUUGACGUUACCCGCAGAAGAAGCACCGGCUAACUCCGUGCCAGCAGCCGCGGUAAUACGGAGGGUGCAAGCGUUAAUCGGAAUUACUGGGCGUAAAGCGCACGCAGGCGGUCUGUCAAGUCGGAUGUGAAAUCCCCGGGCUCAACCUGGGAACUGCAUUCGAAACUGGCAGGCUAGAGUCUUGUAGAGGGGGGUAGAAUUCCAGGUGUAGCGGUGAAAUGCGUAGAGAUCUGGAGGAAUACCGGUGGCGAAGGCGGCCCCCUGGACAAAGACUGACGCUCAGGUGCGAAAGCGUGGGGAGCAAACAGGAUUAGAUACCCUGGUAGUCCACGCCGUAAACGAUGUCGAUUUGGAGGUUGUGCCCUUGAGGCGUGGCUUCCGGAGCUAACGCGUUAAAUCGACCGCCUGGGGAGUACGGCCGCAAGGUUAAAACUCAAAUGAAUUGACGGGGGCCCGCACAAGCGGUGGAGCAUGUGGUUUAAUUCGAUGCAACGCGAAGAACCUUACCUGGUCUUGACAUCCACAGAACUUAGCAGAGAUGCUUUGGUGCCUUCGGGAACUGUGAGACAGGUGCUGCAUGGCUGUCGUCAGCUCGUGUUGUGAAAUGUUGGGUUAAGUCCCGCAACGAGCGCAACCCUUAUCCUUUGUUGCCAGCGGUUAGGCCGGGAACUCAAAGGAGACUGCCAGUGAUAAACUGGAGGAAGGUGGGGAUGACGUCAAGUCAUCAUGGCCCUUACGACCAGGGCUACACACGUGCUACAAUGGCAUAUACAAAGAGAAGCGACCUCGCGAGAGCAAGCGGACCUCAUAAAGUAUGUCGUAGUCCGGAUUGGAGUCUGCAACUCGACUCCAUGAAGUCGGAAUCGCUAGUAAUCGUAGAUCAGAAUGCUACGGUGAAUACGUUCCCGGGCCUUGUACACACCGCCCGUCACACCAUGGGAGUGGGUUGCAAAAGAAGUAGGUAGCUUAACCUUCGGGAGGGCGCUUACCACUUUGUGAUUCAUGACUGGGGUGAAGUCGUAACAAGGUAACCGUAGGGGAACCUGCGGUUGGAUCACCUCCUUA
RNAcentral lists this ribosomal RNA (1540 nucleotides) under Klebsiella quasipneumoniae. RNAcentral's name for it is "bacterial SSU rRNA". It matches the Rfam family "Bacterial small subunit ribosomal RNA". RNAcentral also lists the same sequence under 1 other name. Lineage: Bacteria; Pseudomonadati; Pseudomonadota; Gammaproteobacteria; Enterobacterales; Enterobacteriaceae. The record is from RNAcentral.